UACGGAGGGUGCAAGCGUUAUCCGGAUUCACUGGGUUUAAAGGGUGCGUAGGAGGGCAGGUAAGUCAGUGGUGAAAUCUCCAAGCUUAACUUGGAAACUGCCGUUGAUACUAUCUGUCUUGAAUACCGUGGAGGUGAGCGGAAUAUGUCAUGUAGCGGUGAAAUGCUUAGAUAUGACAUAGAACACCAAUUGCGAAGGCAGCUCACUACACGAAUAUUGACACUGAGGCACGAAAGCGUGGGGAUCAAACAGG
RNAcentral lists this ribosomal RNA (253 nucleotides) under uncultured bacterium. Its description in RNAcentral is "partial 16S ribosomal RNA". It matches the Rfam family "Bacterial small subunit ribosomal RNA", at positions 524 to 776 of the family's 1533-position model. The record is from RNAcentral.